Molecule: ribosomal RNA, 497 nt
Filed under: uncultured bacterium
Lineage: Bacteria
Description: partial 16S ribosomal RNA
Rfam family: Bacterial small subunit ribosomal RNA
Source: RNAcentral
GAUGAACGCUGGCGGCGUGCCUAAUACAUGCAAGUCGAGCGAACGGACGCGAAGCUUGCUUCUCUGAUGUUAGCCGCGGACGGGUGAGUAACACGUGGAUAACCUACCUAUAAGACUGGGAUAACUUCGGGAAACCGUAGCUAAUACCGGAUAAUAUUUUGAACCGCAUGGUUCAAAAGUGAAAGACGGUCUUGCUGUCACUUCUAGAUGGAUCCGCGCUGCAUUAGCUAGUUGGUAAGGUAACGGCUUACCAAGGCAACGAUGCAUAGCCGACCUGAGAGGGUGAUCGGCCACACGGGAACUGAGACACGGACCAGACUCCUACGGGAGGCAGCAGUAGGCAAUCUGACGCAAUGGGCGGAAGCCUGGCGGAGCAACGCCGCGUGAGUUAUGACGGUCUUCGGAUCGUAAAGAUCUGUUAUGAGGGAAGAACAGAUGUGUAAGUAAAUGUGCACAUCGUGACGGUACCUAAUCAGAAAGCAACGGCUAACUACGUG